RNAcentral lists this ribosomal RNA (403 nucleotides) under uncultured bacterium. Its description in RNAcentral is "bacterial SSU rRNA". It matches the Rfam family "Bacterial small subunit ribosomal RNA", at positions 355 to 775 of the family's 1533-position model. The record is from RNAcentral.
UAGGGAAUAUUAGUAAUGGGCGAAAGCCUGAACUAGCAACGCCGCGUGUGCGAAGAAGGCCUUCGGGUUGUAAAGCACUUUUUGAGAGGAUGAGGAAGGACGGUACUCUCAGAAUAAGUCUCGGCUAACUACGUGCCAGCAGCCGCGGUAACACGUAGGAGGCAAACGUUAUCCGGUUUUACUGGGCGUAAAGGGCGUGUAGGUGGUUUGGUAAGUAGGGCGUGAAAGCUCCUGGCUCAACUGGGCGGGGCCGUUCUAAACUGCGGUACUAGAGGAUGGUAGACGGAGGUGGUAUUCCUGGUGUAGCGGUGGAAUGCGCAGAUAUCAGGAGGAACACCAGUGGCGAAAGCGGCCUCCUGGACCAUUCCUGACACUCAGACGCGAAAGCUAGGGUAGCAAACGG